This 324-nucleotide ribosomal RNA is filed under the name uncultured eukaryote. RNAcentral describes it as "partial 18S ribosomal RNA". It matches the Rfam family "Eukaryotic small subunit ribosomal RNA", at positions 1470 to 1796 of the family's 1831-position model. The record is from RNAcentral.
CCCUUAGAUGUUCUGGGCCGCACGCGCGCUACACUGAUGCAUUCAACGAGUUUCUUCCUGGUCCGAGAGGAAUGGGUAACCUUUUGAAAGUGCAUCGUGAUAGGGAUAGACUAUUGCAAUUAUUGGUCUUCAACGAGGAAUUCCUAGUAGACGUAGUUCAUCAGACUGCAUCGAUUACGUCCCUGCCCUUUGUACACACCGCCCGUCGCUCCUACCGAUUGAAUGCUCAGGUGAGCCAUUCGGACUUUCAUCAUGCUGGUUUGCAGUUUUGAUGAAGGAAAGUCUUGCGAACCUUAUCAUUUAGAGGAAGGAGAAGUCGUAACA